GGUAUAAUCAGUGGUAGAGGAUCUUGUCUUUGAAUUUGAAAAACUGUUUAGUGUGAAGAUAGAUGAGUCCCUCCAUUUGCUGAAAGACUCGGGAGCCACGCUCCAUUUGCUUGGCAACUACUUGCUUGUGCUGAAGUGCAAAUCCAUCCACUGUUGAGGCAGAGGCUAACCCUGCCUGUGUUGCAUCAUGAGCGGCUGUAUGAGCCACUUUAAAAGCAUCAGAGGAGGAGAGCCUAGGUGCAAUUGUCCUUCAUGCUCUAGCCAACAUUGGCUCCCAAACUGGCAUUUUGAGAGGACUCUUGAGAGACAUGCACCAUCCAACCUGUUGGAUCAAGACUGCUCCUCUGGUUCUCCUCCCUUCCCUACCCUUUUGGAAGGUACAGGUUCCUGGCCUUGUUAUCAGGGUCUAUCACCUGAGGAAGCAUUUCCUGUGCCCCACCCUCCAUCAGAAGUGUGGUAUAGGAAAGAAGAGGAGAGACAAAAGCUAUGUUGA
This 493-nucleotide long non-coding RNA is filed under the name Chrysemys picta bellii (western painted turtle). Its description in RNAcentral is "lncRNA (ENSCPBG00000028257.1)". Lineage: Eukaryota; Metazoa; Chordata; Testudines; Emydidae. The record is from RNAcentral.